RNAcentral lists this ribosomal RNA (467 nucleotides) under uncultured bacterium. RNAcentral's name for it is "partial 16S ribosomal RNA". It matches the Rfam family "Bacterial small subunit ribosomal RNA", at positions 29 to 523 of the family's 1533-position model. The record is from RNAcentral.
AACAAACGCUGGCGGCGUGCCUAAUACAUGCAAGUCGAACGGGUAGCAAUACCAGUGGCGCACGGGUGAGGAAUACAUAGGUAAUCUGCCUUCGAGUCGGGGAUAACCAGUCGAAAGAUUGGCUAAUACCGGAUAAGACCACAAGAUCUGCGGAUCAAGGGGUUAAAGGUUUUUCGCUUGAAGAUGAGUCUAUGCGAGAUUAGCUAGUUGGUGAGGUAAUGGCUCACCAAGGCGACGAUCUCUAACUGGUCUUAGAGGAUGAUCAGUCACACUGGAACUGAGACACGGUCCAGACUCCUACGGGAGGCAGCAGUAGGGAAUAUUGCGCAAUGGGGGAAACCCUGACGCAGCGACGCCGCGUGAGUGAUGAAGGCCUUCGGGUCGUAAAGCUCUGUCGUAUGGGAAUAACACAAUGAAUGUACCAUGCAAGAAAGGAUCGGCUAACUUCGUGCCAGCCGCCGCAGUAA